This is a long non-coding RNA of Paramisgurnus dabryanus, 1684 nucleotides long. RefSeq lists it as uncharacterized. Lineage: Eukaryota; Metazoa; Chordata; Actinopteri; Cypriniformes; Cobitidae. The record is from RefSeq and is a predicted model, not a curated record.
CGAUCCCAAGCUCGCUGAACUCUACAUAGUCCAAGAGGUCCGUUUCGGAACUCUCUGCCUGGUCCAAGAUGGCUGUCUAUGAACUAACCAGUCUCUAUGCUGUUCUUAGAUCUGUUUCCCUUUCUUUGCCAGCCUCUCUCUCUCCUGUCCUUGUUCACAGGUCCAGAACACCUCCAGCACCACCAUGGGUAGCGAUCCUGACAAACUCACUGAUGUCACCUGUGACUGCACCCUGGUCUCUGGCUAUGCUUGCAGCGCCACCCUGGUCUCCAGCUACGCUCUGGUCUCUGGUCCUGCCUGCGGCACCACCCUGGCGGCUAACUCAGCUCUGGUCUCUGGUCCCUCCCACAGCUGGUCUCUGAGCUCACCUUCUGCUCAUCCCUGGCUUCCUGCUCUGCCUGCACCGCCCUGGCUUCCUGCUCUGCCGGCUUCACUCUGUCCUCCACCACAUGAACUUGACCCACCAUUCCACCCUUGUUACGUCCACGCUCCAUCCUUCUCCUAUUUCAUUGUGGCCCUGGGACUGAUCAUGCCACCAUCUGUUACCAAUCAGUCUGGUGUUUUUUCAUCCAAGCAGAGAUGUCUACUAAACAGGCUGAAAUGUGAGCUGAUACAGUGGGAUAAUUUGGGUGAAAUGUACGGUGGCCGAAAAGUGCGAAACAACAUUACAAUGUGUGAAACACUUUUACAAACCUCGAGACAAAUGUACAUUUUGGAAAACAUUUUUACAUAUCAUAAAACACAUUUACAUUGGGUAAAACACUUUUAUCAAGGAUGAAACAAAUUUACAUUUUAGAAAACAAAUUAACAAGACGCAAAACAGUUUUACCAGUCCCAAAACAAAUUUACAAUGACAGAUUCUACAGGUAGGACUGCGGCCGAGGGAUGUUUUGUGGCCAACAUAUGAGCACCGUAACGCGGUUUUGCGUCACGUGUGGUCGGUGUUUGGAGUUUUUGAACGACACGGACCAGAUGGAAACACGGGACAUACUGCAUCAAUGUGUUCAAUAUUUUAACGAGGGCCACUCGUACGCUGUAAUCGUGGACAUGAUGUCAAGUCUACGCGGUGUAAACAUCAGCUUGAGGACUCUUAAAAGUAAACUAAACAAAGCUGGGUUGUAGCGUAGAAAGGAUUAUUCCUCUCCAAACUCCGUUUGUAACACCAUCAGAUUGGAACUUCGUGGACCUGGACAACUAUUUGGCUACCGCACGAUGUGGCAGCUACUCAAACAAAAGUACAAUUUGUGAUGAAUUUGCUCCGGGAGCUUAAUCCUCGAGGGUGUGAGAGUAGAACUGGUGGUCUAUAUUUAGAAAGGGAAGGUCUCAGUUCUGGAUGGAGUUAUUUGCAGACCUUAGAGAAGCUGGGUACUUCAACAUGAGUCAUGAGCAUCAGUGUCUAUUGAGAUACUGCUUUGGUGAUGUCAUUCAGAAGGACUUAGAUGAGUGUGUGAGACUGUGGAACAGUCACAGAAUUCGCCCUUCCAGAACAGCAGCGUGUCCAGGAGGAGUGCCCAAUGAACUCUACUACUUACCACACAGGUUUUGCUUGAGAGACCGCGGAUUUCAAAUUGAACAAACUGAAAUGGAUGACUUUCCUGAGGCUAGCCUGUCAAUAACUCCUUGUGGGGACCCAAACAUGCAGGAGUACUUGGACUUUGCCAUAGAACACAGUCAGUUACAGAAG